AUGAUUCCUGGCUGCGUUCCUCAUCUGGCUCUUCUCCGGCUUCCUCGGAUAGUACCUCAUCCCGUCUGUGUCUGGUCUGGUGUUGUCUGCCAGGUCUCCAGCCUCUUUUCUCUCUUCCAGUGUCAAAAUCCCAGUAUUCCUGACUGCGUUCCUCGUCCUGGUUGUCUCUUACUUCCUCAGAUUCUGCAUCCCGCCUGUGUCUCGUCUGGUGCACUCUGCCAGGCCUCCAGCCUCUUUUCUGUCGUUCAGUGUCGAAAUCCCAGGAUUCUUGACUGCGUUCCUCUUCUGGUUCUUCCUCCGUCAGUUCUUCAUCACGUUUGCGUCUAUGUUGGUGGACUCUUCCUCUCCAGUCUCUUUUGUCGAGGCCCCAUGAUUCUUGACUGCGUUCUUCAUUUUCCUCAGCUUCCGAUGGCCCAUCGCUGCGCUUGUGGUACUUUUUCUUGUGGUGAUACCGAUGAGUGGGCUUCCAUAUGCGUUUAUAUCUCUCCUCCUCUCCCUCACUUCUUUUGUCUACAUCCCAGGAUUCCUGGCUGCGUUCUUCCUCAGGUUCUUCUCCAUAUUCCCCCAGGGGUUCCUCGUCUCGUUUGUAUUUUCUUUGGUAGUGUCUCCCGGGCCUCCAUGAAGCCCUCUUCUCUCGAUCUUCUUCACCCUCCUCUCCAUCAUCGGAUCGCUUUUCCUCUAAUCCCCAGCUUUCCUGGCUGCGUUCGUUGUCUUCCUCUUCCUCUCCACGUUUGUGCUUCUUCUGGUGGACCCUCCCAGGCCUCCAGUUGCUUCUCUUCUCCCUCCCUUCCAAUUCGUCCUCAGGCCUCUUGUCCUUAUCGUCAACCAGACUCCAGGAUUCCUGGCUGCGCUCAUCUUCCGGCGUCUCCUUUUUGCCCUCCAAAGGUUUCAGAAGUUUUUCGAUGUCGUUCACAUCUGUCAGUUGAGCCUCAGGCUUCUCGUCUUGACCUUUCACCCUGUCCUCCUUAGCAGCUGUACCAUCAACACUUUUCUUGUCUAAUGGAGCAUGUUUGAUCCCUGUUACAGGUCAAGCAGAACAUCAAAAAUAGAUAAAAAGAGAAGGAUUUCUUUGGAACAGUGGUUCUCAAUCUUUUUUUUUUUGGCUCAAGUACCCCCUUUCUCUUAUUUCUGAAUCCAAGUACCCCCU
This 1147-nucleotide long non-coding RNA is filed under the name Gouania willdenowi (blunt-snouted clingfish). RNAcentral describes it as "lncRNA (ENSGWIG00000025716.1)". The record is from RNAcentral. Lineage: Eukaryota; Metazoa; Chordata; Actinopteri; Blenniiformes; Gobiesocidae.